AUUGAACGCUGGCGGCAGGCUUAACACAUGCAAGUCGAGCGGAGAUGAGGUGCUUGCACCUUAUCUUAGCGGCGGACGGGUGAGUAAUGCUUAGGAAUCUGCCUAUUAGUGGGGGACAACAUUCCGAAAGGAAUGCUAAUACCGCAUACGUCCUACGGGAGAAAGCAGGGGAUCUUCGGACCUUGCGCUAAUAGAUGAGCCUAAGUCGGAUUAGCUAGUUGGUGGGGUAAAGGCCUACCAAAGCGACGAUCUGUAGCGGGUCUGAGAGGAUGAUCCGCCACACUGGGACUGAGACACGGCCCAGACUCCUACGGGAGGCAGAAGUGGGGAAUAUUGGACAAUGGGGGGAACCCUGAUCCAGCCAUGCCGCGUGUGUGAAGAAGGCCUUAUGGUUGUAAAGCACUUUAAGCGAGGAGGAGGCUACUGAGACUAAUACUCUUGGAUAGUGGACGUUACUCGCAGAAUAAGCACCGGCUAACUCUGUGCCAGCAGCCGCCGUAA
This 501-nucleotide ribosomal RNA is filed under the name uncultured bacterium. Its description in RNAcentral is "partial 16S ribosomal RNA". It matches the Rfam family "Bacterial small subunit ribosomal RNA", at positions 30 to 523 of the family's 1533-position model. The record is from RNAcentral.